Molecule: ribosomal RNA, 484 nt
Filed under: uncultured bacterium
Lineage: Bacteria
Description: partial 16S ribosomal RNA
Rfam family: Bacterial small subunit ribosomal RNA
Source: RNAcentral
AUUGAACGCUGGCGGCAGGCCUAACACAUGCAAGUCGAGCGGAUGAAGGGAGCUUGCUCCUGGAUUCAGCGGCGGACGGGUGAGUAAUGCCUAGGAAUCUGCCUGGUAGUGGGGUAUAACGUCCGGAAACGGGCGCUAAUACCGCAUACGUCCUGAGGGAGAAAGUGGGGGAUCUUCGGACCUCACGCUAUCAGAUGAUCCUAGGUCGGAUUAGCUAGUUGGUGGGGUAAAGGCCUACCAAGGCGACGAUCCGUAACUGGUCUGAGAGGAUGAUCAGUCACACUGGAACUGAGACACGGUCCAGACUCCUACGGGAGGCAGCAGUGGGGAAUAUUGGACAAUGGGCGAAAGCCUGAUCCAGCCAUGCCGCGUGUGUGAAGAAGGUCUUCGGAUUGUAAAGCACUUUAAGUUGGGAGGAAGGGCAGUAAGUUAAUACCUUGCUGUUUUGACGUUACCAAAAGAAUAAGCACCGGCUAACUUCGUG